AUUGAACGCUGGCGGCAGGCCUAACACAUGCAAGUCGAGCGGAUGAAGGGAGCUUGCUCCUGGAUUCAGCGGCGGACGGGUGAGUAAUGCCUAGGAAUCUGCCUGGUAGUGGGGGAUAACGUCCGGAAACGGGCGCUAAUACCGCAUACGUCCUGAGGGAGAAAGUGGGGGAUCUUCGGACCUCACGCUAUCAGAUGAUCCUAGGUCGGAUUAGCUAGUUGGUGGGGUAAAGGCCUACCAAGGCGACGAUCCGUAACUGGUCUGAGAGGAUGAUCAGUCACACUGGAACUGAGAAACGGUCAAGACUCCAACGGGAGGAAGCAGUGGGGAAUAUUGGACAAUGGGCGAAAGCCUGAUCCAGACAUGCCGCGUGUGUGAAGAAGGUCUUCGGAUUGUAAAGCACUUUAAGUUGGGAGGAAGGGCAGUAAGUUAAUACCUUGCUGUUUUGACGUUACCAACAGAAUAAGCAACGGCUAACUUCGUG
This 484-nucleotide ribosomal RNA is filed under the name uncultured bacterium. RNAcentral describes it as "partial 16S ribosomal RNA". It matches the Rfam family "Bacterial small subunit ribosomal RNA", at positions 30 to 507 of the family's 1533-position model. The record is from RNAcentral.